RNAcentral lists this small RNA (519 nucleotides) under Arabidopsis thaliana (thale cress). RNAcentral's name for it is "ATSL252290". The stretch from base 206 to 387 matches the Rfam family "MIR5635 microRNA precursor family". Lineage: Eukaryota; Viridiplantae; Streptophyta; Magnoliopsida; Brassicales; Brassicaceae. The record is from RNAcentral.
UCUACUAUGAUCAGUCUUUUGUAUAGUGUACACUGAACAGGUUCAUAUUUUCUAGUUCCAACUUCGGAUUUUGUUGACAAUUUAAAUAGGGAAAAAUGUUAUUUAAUACCUGAACUUUCAAAAAGUGGCCAAAUUAACCGUGAACUCUUAAAAUAACCGUUUUAUACCUCAACAAAAAGUUGACUUCUAAUUUAAUCUAUAAGUUAUCGUUGACCUAACCAAAUCGACUCACCAUUAACAGUCAUGAACAACUUUCCUAACUGCGUAACUAACAGCUGUUUUCGUCCUUAAACCAACGAUAACGACUGUUAGCCCAUGUUUUGUAAUGGCUGUUAGGAGCGUUGUUAAGAAGUGUUAACGGUGAAUCGAUUUGCCCUGAUCAACGAUAACUUAUAGGUUAAAUUAGAAGUCAACUUUUUGUUAAGGUAUAAAACGGCUAUUUCAAGAGUUCACGGUUAAUUUGACCACUUUUUAAAAGUUCAGGUAUUAAAUAACAUUUUUCUCAAUUUAAAUAUCAAU